AAGUCGUAACAAGGUUUCCGAGGAUUAACAGUCCCGGUUCAGUAAUGAAUCCUUCCGCAUGUACACUUGCCGAAGCCUUAGCGGGUCCAAAAGGACCGGUCCGCGACUUAAUAAACAAAGUGAUCUGCCGCCCAUAACCCGGGGUGGUACGCUAGUCUGCCGUCCCCUAACAAGGGACGACGGGCGACACUAUCGAAUUGCGGGGAUGCCCUAAAGGACGGUGGUACGAACCCAAUGUGCGAAACGCCAUUUGGGGGCCCGGGUUAGCAGCCCGGGGGUAGCGUAACAAUCCCACCGUCAUGAUUUCUCCCCCCAAAAGGGGAGAUGAAAUGGGUAAUCCGCAGCCAAAGACCUGCACCCCCGCAGCUGCGGGUGACGGUUGAGGUCCACAGACUAAGUGGUAGUGGGUGUGGCCUUGCGAGGCCAUGCUUAAGAUAUAGUCGGGGCCCCUCGAGAAAUCCAGGGGGGACAAGUACAGCGAAACCAAACUUUCCUGACAGAAACCGUACCGUAGGUGAACCCUUCGGUAGGAUCAUUACCGAGUUAGGGUCUUCCGGGCCCAAUCUCCCACCCUUGUCGUCGAACAAAUCUUGUUGCUUUGGCGGGACCGCUCGGUCUCUCACGAGGCCGGCUGCCGGGUCCCCGCACCCGGGGUAAGCGGCCGCCAGAGUCCAACUAAACUCUUCGUUUAACCAUUCGUCUGAGUAAUGAUUUAAUCAAUCAAA
Molecule: non-coding RNA, 725 nt
Filed under: plant metagenome
Description: partial contains small subunit ribosomal RNA and internal transcribed spacer 1
Rfam family: Group I catalytic intron (bases 123-465)
Source: RNAcentral